UCGAUCUUUAUUUAUUUUACAAGAAUUACAACGAUGUGAAAACAUGUUUCGAACCACGUCGCAAUCAACGCACACGUGAUUGUCAACACAUUUCGGCUUUGUUGAGAUUUGGAUUUGGGUCGCAUCAAUGCGCACCCGAGUUUAAGAAAGUAAUAUAAAUAAAUCGUGCCUAAAGAUUCAAACGUAGUAUUAUUUCGGAAAAGGCCGUAAAAUUCGCUAAACGACUCUCCCAGAUUCUAAUUGUUUCGAUAACCAGUUAUUGAGGGCCCCGUAAUUUGUAAUUUUAGUUGGCAAGGCUCAUCUCAUCUUUAUUUUAAAAGGGAAGCUUAAAAGCAACUACGAUUUCCUAUUUUUGUUUUUGUUUUUCUUUAGUCUCUUAACAAACAAAACUAACAAUCAGAUAAACUACUUUAAUUGAACAACCCAAAGCUUCUGAUUUCUCAGACUUUCAGGCCCAAUGAAUCAAGCGUAUUAAUAAGCCAACUCCCAGCUCAAGCAACGGGGACUGCCUCAGAUAGAACCCAGGCUGAAACUCCAAAUUUCGAGCACUGGAGGGCAUGGGCUUUAAGCGUAGCCCAGCGACCUCAACCCGUUGGAAAUAUGUGGAAGGCCAUCAAACCCCCGCCGUAGAAAAAUGAAGAAGUAAUAUUUAAAGCAAAAAAUUAUUGAAAAUACUUAUGCACUGAGUUUAUACCAUGUUAUAAACAAUAACGAAGAAGAGCUUCAUAUUUGAAAAUCAUGGUAGAAUAUUAAUAAUUAAUAAAAUUAGCAAGAAAACUCACAGAUUGAGCUCCAAUUCUUAAAUGACACUUAUACCCUCUGCCAUAGAAAAAUGAAGGAGUAAUAAUUAAAGCCAAAAAUUGUUCAAAAUACUUAUGCUUUGAGUUUAUACCAAGUUAUGAACAAUAACGAAGAAGAGCUUCAUAUUUGAAAAUCAGAAAAUCAUGGUAGAAUAUUAAUAAUUAAUAAAAUUAGCAACAAAACUCGCAGAUUGAACUCAAAUUCUUAAAUGAUACUUAUACAAAAAUUAAAACAAGGCUUAAAUAGAAAGCUACGAUUUUCUAUUUUUGUUUUUCAUUAGUCUCUUAACAAACAAAACUAACAAUCAGAUCAACUUCUUUAUUUGAACAACCCAAAGCUUCUGAUUUCCCAGACUUUCAGGCCCAAUGAAUCAAGCCUAAUAAUAAGCCAACUCCCAGCUCAAGCAACGAGGAGUGCCUCAGAUCGAACCCAGGCUGAAAAUCCAAAAUUCGAGCAUUGGAGGCCAUGGGCUUUAAGCGUAGCCCAGCGACCUCAACCCGUUGGAAAUAUGUGGAAGGCCAUCAAACCCCCGCCGUAGAAAAAUGAAGAAGUAAUAUUUAAAGCAAAAAAUUAUUGAAAAUACUUAUGCACUGAGUUUAUACCAUGUUAUAAACAAUAACGAAGAAGAGCUUCAUAUUUGAAAAUCAUGGUAGAAUAUUAAUAAUUAAUAAAAUUAGCAAGAAAACUCACAGAUUGAGCUCCAAUUCUUAAAUGACACUUAUACCCAAAUUAAAACAAGGCUUAAAUUGAUGCAUCUCCAACAUACAUCCAACGAGCACGGAUGACCAAGGUGAUUGCAUUUCAUCCCCAAAUUGUGGUUAUAUCAAGAAUAUUUCAAGAGUGUACCUGGAAAUUGGAAUGUAAAUAGAGAAGGAGAGGUUAGCUGCAGUAAAAACUUAGCAGUAGCUCGAAAAAUAGAUUAUAACUCAGUCACAGUAAGUGAAGUAGUAGCACGGUCACACCGAGGUUCAACAAUUCAGAAGAAAUGAGUUGAAAAGCAAAGAAAAUCCAAUAAAUAAACCCAAGCAGCCUUAAUUUAGUCCCAGAAUGACUCGAACAAACAGACUAGAGCAGACCUCAACCCUAAGCACCCAGGCAACAAAAGAAAUAGAUUCAGAUUCGAGUGUAACCAGUGUCUAACCCUCAGCUACCCAUUGUUGAACUAGGAAUUCAAAAUAAAUUACCCAAACCUUGAAAUUAGACCAAAGAUAUCAAUGAAAUAGUAAUUUUUUUUGUGUUUCUGUAUUUGUUUGUUUUUUUUUUUUGUGUUUUGGGAUUUGAAUUUCUACCUUAGAUUUCGAAGAGACUAAUCUAAGAGAGAAGUUCGAAUUACAAAUUGCAAAAAUCUGGAGAUCUUAAAAUUAGAGUGUCAAGAGUAUUUCGAGGCUAAUAUUGGCUGAAAAAGAGAAGACCCUUUCACAAGGAAAUGCAAUACCUAUUUAUAGGUAAACAAGCAAAUCUUUUAUUUUCUUUUAGUCCCUCAUUUCUUUUAUGUUUACCCCCACUAUUUCCAGCUUUCCAUACAAGUAAGUGCCUCACAUUAUAAAAAAAAUACAAUUUAGACUUUGUUCUAAAAUAUUCUAGGAAGUUCUACUGGUUGCUACUAGGAUUGUUUUAUGAGAAAAUCCUAAACUGCCCCCUCUUCUUAAUUUGAACUACCUACCUCAUGUCAAUUAAGCCAAGCUUUAAUUAGUAGACUACUCUAUCAGGAAAACUACUCAAUUAACUACCCUAAGAACUUAUUCGAAUAACUCUAACCACCUAUAACUAAAGAAAAUCUACUGAAGCAAACAAACUGUGUUACCUGAAGCAAAAAAUAAAAACCUUUACAACCUACAAAUUUAACUAAUCAGUAAGUAAUGUAAUAGAAUUAGAACAAAGAUUAAUACUAACAUAGAAAAUUUGAAGGACAUCUACUUAAUUAAAGCCACUCAAUUAGAAGCAACGAUCAGACUAAAUUCUAAUCUUGAUUGAAAUAAGAUGAAAGGGAUUAUAUCGAACAAAUAACAGAUGGAACCAAAUAAACACAAAACAAAUACAAUUAGACUCUAACUAGUAAAACAACUAAUUAACUACAAAGAACUGCUUAAAAAACCUGAGGAAAUUUACUGAUGAAAAUAAAACCCCGGCUAGUCGUGUUAUUCUCAAAUUCGUCCAUGCCUAGGGUCAUUUGAGCUUUAUUGACGAUCCGUUUCUUACAAGGGAGGUACGGGGACCCUUUGACAUCAACGUCAUGCACUGUAACCAUUUUAGGGUUUUGGCAGGGAAAAUUGAAUUAGAUAUUCGAGCCGUUCCGGCCACAUUCGAGCCAAACGGCUAUGGGAUUUGUGUAGAGGAUGCUAGGGCGGUCCUAUGGUAUUAUUUUGGGGGUGAUUGGGUUAACCGGAGACAUGGCCAAAAAAUAUCUUUAUGAAUAUUCGAGAAUAUUCCGUGAGGUUUGAGGGAAGCCAAAGACGGAAUGGGAAGAGGAUGACCUGGGGAUUCGUGGUGUUAAUUUGGGGAUGUUUGGAGGCGGUGUCAUUUACCGGCGGUGGCUCCGCCGGUGAAUUUCACAGAUUAGUACGAGGAGGACAAGGCUUGGUCUUUGACCUAUUGAAUUAUCUCCGACCAUUCUAUGAGAUUAAAAGGGUAUAUCCCAUCCAUUGGCUGGAGGAGAAUUGACGG
Molecule: long non-coding RNA, 3465 nt
Filed under: Nicotiana benthamiana
Lineage: Eukaryota; Viridiplantae; Streptophyta; Magnoliopsida; Solanales; Solanaceae
Description: long non-coding RNA (NBEN_LNC013487)
Source: RNAcentral